CAGCCGCCACGGUAAUACGGAGGGCGCGAGCGUUACCCGGAUUUACUGGGCGUAAAGCGCACGUAGGCGGAUCGAUCAGUCAGGGGUGAAAUCCCAGAGCUCAACUCUGGAACUGCCUUUGAUACUGUCGAUCUGGAGUAUGGAAGAGGUGAGUGGAAUUCCGAGUGUAGAGGUGAAAUUCGUAGAUAUUCGGAGGAACACCAGUGGCGAAGGCGGCUCACUGGUCCAUUACUGACGCUGAGGUGCGAAAGCGUGGGGAGCAAACAGGAUUAGAUACCCCAGUAGUCCCUGUCUAUUAUAC
RNAcentral lists this ribosomal RNA (301 nucleotides) under uncultured bacterium. RNAcentral describes it as "partial 16S ribosomal RNA". It matches the Rfam family "Bacterial small subunit ribosomal RNA", at positions 509 to 807 of the family's 1533-position model. The record is from RNAcentral.